This 497-nucleotide ribosomal RNA is filed under the name Phyllidiella pustulosa. Its description in RNAcentral is "partial 16S ribosomal RNA". It matches the Rfam family "Archaeal large subunit ribosomal RNA", at positions 1892 to 2688 of the family's 2987-position model. Lineage: Eukaryota; Metazoa; Mollusca; Gastropoda; Nudibranchia; Phyllidiidae. The record is from RNAcentral.
CUGUUUAUCAAAAACAUAGCUUUAGGAACAUUGAUCUAAAGUUAAACCUGCCCAGUGUGCGNGUUAUGAAAAUAAAUUAUCAACGGCCGCGGUACUUUGACCGUGCUAAGGUAGCGCAAUCAAUUGGCUUUUAAAUGGAGUCAGGUAUGAAUGGAAUCACGGGGUUUAGCUGUCUCUGAACUAAUUUAUAGAAAUUACUUUAUAGGUGAAAAAGCCUAUGUGAAGAUAAAGGACGAGAAGACCCUUAGAGUUUUUUUUAAUGUAAAUUAUUUAUUUAUAAUAAUUUAGUUGGGGCAACAUAAGAACAGAUAAAAUACAACUUCUUGAAAUUUACCUAUCGAUUUUUAUAAGCAUGAAUAAACUACCUUAGGGAUAACAGCAUAAUUUAAGAUAUAAGUUUGUGACCUCGAUGUUGGACUAGGGAACUAAAUGGCUAGCCGNNUUUUAGAAAGGUUCUGUUCGAACUAUAAAUCCUACGUGANCUGAGUUCAGACCGG